Molecule: non-coding RNA, 2199 nt
Organism: Cicer arietinum (chickpea)
Lineage: Eukaryota; Viridiplantae; Streptophyta; Magnoliopsida; Fabales; Fabaceae
Source: RefSeq, a predicted model, not a curated record
UAAACUCGUCAGUCCUCACAUCACACAAUCAUCGGUGUUUACUUCUUUCUCUCGUCUUCACUCUUAAUUCUUUCAAUAUUUUUACCUAAAAUUAAAAAUAUUACAUUUUCCGAAACAAAAUGAAUGAUCAACUUCUUGAUCGAAGUCGAGGAUUUUAGGGUUUCAAUCAGAAUCUGGAUUUUCUCGCGUAACUUUCUGUUAUGAGUUGCAAUUGGUUUCGGGCUCAAUUUCUUGCGCUCCGUGUCAUCAGCGUUUAGAUCCUCCAUGAGAGUUUCUUGUGUUUGAUUACGGUUGCUGGAAUUGGGAUCGGAAAAAUUUUGGAUUUGAGGAUUUUCGAGGAUUUCAGAGGAAUGAGGAUCGACGCGGUGAAUUACACCAAUUCUUUUGUUUGCCGUUCCUAACAGCUACAGCAACGUCACGCUUCGUUUCUUGAUUGUCUUGAUUGUUCAGUCACGCUUCAGUUCUUGAUUGUUCAAUCUUGCAAGAUUUUGUGAUUCUUAUUCAGCUUUGGAUGUUUGAGCCUUCAUAAUAAUUCAAAAUACUUGCAACAAGAAUUCUUCCAACCCAUGUUGAAAAUUCGUGUGAAGCGUGGACAAUGUUCUUGAGACUUGAUGCCCCUAAGAGGAUUCACAAAAAAGAAAAUAAUACUCAUUUUGAUGAAGAGAAAAAGUAGUGAUCAGACUUCCCCUAAUGCAAAACAAAUCCUAAAGAGAAAAAUAUAAAAAGAUAUAAAACUUAAGAGCCCCUUUGAAAAAUUGAGAUGAUAUAAUUGACAGCUAAAUGUAAUUCAUAAAUGAAUUUUGUAAUUCAUGAACGUUGUUGGUGAUCUUGAGACUUAAUGAACCUUGCUGCUAUAACAAUAUGGGUCUUUUAUCUUGAGACUUGAUGAACCUUGCUGCUAUAACAAUAUGAAUCUUUUAUCUUUUUGUGAAAUAAGGUGGUGUGUAUUGUGUCUUGAUUAGUCACUGACUCUAGUUCCAACUAUAUUUGAGAGGGAAAGCUUGAACAUUUACUAUCCUAAGUUCAAUUGCUUCAAAGAUUUGAAACACAGGUUUCAAUACAUUUCUAAUUGACUUGUUCUGUUUUUUGUUUCUUAACAAGUGUCCCAUGUUAGCAUGUGCCCUAUAUAAAGUCAGGAUGGUAUAUGUGACAAUUAUGGGCCUUAAACGCAUUUACUAAUGAAGUUUUAUUCAUCAUCAUAGCAUGAACUAUGGAUAAUGUUCUUGAAAUGCCCUUGUUGCAGUGACAAUAUAAAUCUUUAUUGUUAAUGUGAAAUUGGAUGGUGUUCACUGGGCCUUGAUUAGUCAUGGAUUCUGGUUGUAAAUAUAUUUGAGAUGGGAAGCUAUAACAUCGAUAAUCCUGAAUUCAAUUAGAAGAUAAAUUGUAUAAAAUUGGGAUGGUAUUCUUGACGGUUAAUGGCCCUAAAUGCGAUCACUAUAUGGAUUUUGUAUUCAUAAUGGGAAGUAUACAAUGUUCUUGAGAAUUGAUGGACCUUUUUGCGAUAACUAUAUGAAAUGAAUCUUUAUUUUGGAUGAAAAAUAGUAUGGGGUGCCUGGUUCCUUGAUGAGUCGGUGAUUCUAAUUGCAAGUAUUAUAUUUGAGAUGGUAUGCUUGAGCAUUGAUGACCCUAAUUCGAUUGCUCUAUGAAUUAUAUAUCGGAAUGAAAUAUUUAAGCCUUGUGAACUACUAAAUAUAUGAAAAUCGAAGACCAAGAACAGUAUCAUAUUUUCUUUGAGACAACUCAAAAAUUGAAAAUCUAUAUGGAAUGCUUGAAUUGAUUUUAUCAUAGAUAGAAUAUGUAACACUGGAUCCAUAUUGAAAGUUGUCACCAUCACUUCUCGUGUCUGCCGCAAUCUGUGUUCAAAAUUGUCUAUACUAUGUCCAUUGAUAUGGCAGUAACUAUGAGGUGAGAAGGUAGAGCAAUAAUUGUGGGAUAUUGAGCUUUAUAUAAUUCUGCAAAUGAAGAUGGGUUGUUGCCAAUUGGUACUAAGUUUUUUCUCCUAGCUUGAUGAUGCAGAUUUAAGGGUGUGCCUAAUGGUUUUAGGAGAUUGCUAUUUGAUCAUAACCAAUUGCGAACUUUAAAUGUUAACACUGUUACCGCAAUUCCUUAUGAAUGAGAGGAUUCUUAAAUACCUUUGCAUGUAUUGGAUAUUUUUCUUCAAGUAUUUUUAUAAUCAUGGAAGCUUUUAUUUUUUCUGAA